UCGACCACCUCAGAGGCCGGAAGCUAUCCUAACUCGGUCAUUUAGAGGACAUUUAAGUCGUAACAAGGUAACCACCUGAUGGAGGGCGAUAACUACUAGAAACGGUAGCUAAUACCGCAUAAUGUCGCAGGACCAAAGAGGGGGACCUUCGGGCCUCUUGCCAUCAGAUGUGCCCAGAUGGGAUUAGCUAGUAGGUGGGGUAACGGCUCACCUAGGCGACGAUCCCUAGCUGGACUGAGAGGAUGACCAGCCACACUGGAACUGAGACACGGUCCAGACUCCUACGGGAGGCAGCAGUGGUGAAUAUUGCACAAUGGGCGCAAGCCUGAUGCAUCCAUGCCGCGUGUAUGAAGAAGGCCUUCUGGAAGUCAAGUACUUUCAGCGGGGAGGAAGGUGUUGUGGUUAAUAACCCCAGCAAUUGACGUUACCCGCAGAACAAGCACCAGCUAACUCCGUGCCAGCAGCCGCAGUAAUACGGAGGGUGCAAGCGUUAAUCGCAAUUACUGAACGUAAAGCGCACGCGCGCUGUCUGUCCAGUCGGAAAUGAAAUCCCCGGGCUCAACCUGGGAACUGCAUUCGAAACUGGCAGGCUGGAGUCUUGAAGAGGGUGGUAGAAUUCGAGGAGUAGCGAUGACUGCGUAUAAUCUGGAAAAUACCGGUGGCAAGGCGGUCCCCUGGACAAAACUGACGCUCAGAGCAA
Molecule: ribosomal RNA, 700 nt
Filed under: uncultured Enterobacter sp.
Lineage: Bacteria; Pseudomonadati; Pseudomonadota; Gammaproteobacteria; Enterobacterales; Enterobacteriaceae
Description: bacterial SSU rRNA
Rfam family: Bacterial small subunit ribosomal RNA
Source: RNAcentral